Non-coding RNA from Strongylocentrotus purpuratus (purple sea urchin), 82 nucleotides. Lineage: Eukaryota; Metazoa; Echinodermata; Echinoidea; Camarodonta; Strongylocentrotidae. The record is from Rfam.
GCUGCGAUGGCCGAGUGGUUAAGGCGUUGGACUUGAAAUCCAAUGGGAUCUUCCCGCGUAGGUUCGAACCCUACUCGCAGCG